This 77-nucleotide transfer RNA is filed under the name Escherichia coli. RNAcentral's name for it is "tRNA-Arg". It matches the Rfam family "tRNA". Rfam says of the family: Transfer RNA (tRNA) molecules are approximately 80 nucleotides in length. Their secondary structure includes four short double-helical elements and three loops (D, anti-codon, and T loops). RNAcentral also lists the same sequence under 1 other name. The record is from RNAcentral. Lineage: Bacteria; Pseudomonadati; Pseudomonadota; Gammaproteobacteria; Enterobacterales; Enterobacteriaceae.
GCGUCCUUAGCUCAGUUGGAUAGAGCAACGACCUUCUAAGUCGUGGGCCGCAGGUUCGAAUCCUGCAGGGCGCGCCA